UGAGACCUGAUGCCGAGCCGAUUGUGGUGAAGUGGAUGAUCCUAUGCUGUCGAGAAAAGCCUCUAGCGAGUUUCAUGGCGGCCCGUACCCUAAACCGACUCAGGUGGUCAGGUAGAGAAUACCGAGGCGUUCGGGUGAACUAUGGUUAAGGAACUCGGCAAAAUGCCCCCGUAACUUCGGGAGAAGGGGGGCCACGCCUGGUGAUGAGUCUUGCACUCUGAGCUGGGGGUGGCCGCAGAGACCAGCGAGAAGCGACUGUUUACUAAAAACACAGGUCCGUGCGAAGCCGUAAGGCGAUGUAUACGGACUGACGCCUGCCCGGUGCUGGAACGUUAAGGGGACCGGUUAGCUCCAUUUCGGUGGGGCGAAGCUGAGAACUUAAGCGCCAGUAAACGGCGGUGGUAACUAUAACCAUCCUAAGGUAGCGAAAUUCCUUGUCGGGUAAGUUCCGACCUGCACGAAUGGCGUAACGACUUCUCGACUGUCUCAACCAUAGGCCCGGUGAAAUUGCACUACGAGUAAAGAUGCUCGUUUCGCGCAGCAGGACGGAAAGACCCCGGGACCUUUACUACAGUUUGAUAUUGGUGUUCGGUUCGGCUUGUGUAGGAUAGGUGGGAGACUGUGAAGCUUGGACGCCAGUUCAGGUGGAGUCGUCGUUGAAAUACCACUCUGGUCGUGCUGGAUGUCUAACCUGGGUCCGUGAUCCGGAUCAGGGACAGUGUCUGAUGGGUAGUUUAACUGGGGCGGUUGCCUCCUAAAGGGUAACGGAGGCGCCCAAAGGUUCCCUCAGCCUGGUUGGCAAUCAGGUGUUGAGUGUAAGUGCACAAGGGAGCUUGACUGUGAGACCGACGGGUCGAGCAGGGACGAAAGUCGGGACUAGUGAUCCGGCGGUGGCUUGUGGAAGCGCCGUCGCUCAACGGAUAAAAGGUACCCCGGGGAUAACAGGCUGAUCUUCCCCAAGAGUCCAUAUCGACGGGAUGGUUUGGCACCUCGAUGUCGGCUCGUCGCAUCCUGGGGCUGGAGUCGGUCCCAAGGGUUGGGCUGUUCGCCCAUUAAAGCGGUACGCGAGCUGGGUUUAGAACGUCGUGAGACAGUUCGGUCCCUAUCCGCUGUGCGCGUAGGAGUCUUGAGAAGGGCUGUCCCUAGUACGAGAGGACCGGGACGGACGAACCUCUGGUGUGCCAGUUGUCCUGCCAAGGGCAUGGCUGGUUGGCUACGUUCGGGAGGGAUAACCGCUGAAAGCAUCUAAGCGGGAAGCCUGCUUCGAGAUGAGGACUCCCACCCACUUGAUGGGGUAAGGCUCCCAGUAGACGACUGGGUUGAUAGGCCGGAUAUGGAAGCCAGGUGACUGGUGGAGUUGACCGGUACUAAUAGGCCGAGGGCUUGUCCU
This 1390-nucleotide ribosomal RNA is filed under the name Streptomyces sp. CNS615. RNAcentral's name for it is "bacterial LSU rRNA". It matches the Rfam family "Bacterial large subunit ribosomal RNA", at positions 1557 to 2925 of the family's 2925-position model. Lineage: Bacteria; Bacillati; Actinomycetota; Actinomycetes; Kitasatosporales; Streptomycetaceae. The record is from RNAcentral. RNAcentral also lists the same sequence under 1 other name.